RNAcentral lists this ribosomal RNA (442 nucleotides) under uncultured bacterium. RNAcentral describes it as "partial 16S ribosomal RNA". It matches the Rfam family "Bacterial small subunit ribosomal RNA", at positions 339 to 795 of the family's 1533-position model. The record is from RNAcentral.
CCUCGGGAGGCAGCAGUGGGGAAUAUUGGGCAACGGGCGCAAGCCUGACCCAGCAACGCCGCGUUAAGGAAGAAGGCUUUCGGGUUGUAAACUUCUUUUCUCAGGGACGAAGCAAGUGACGGUACCUGAGGAAUAAGCCACGGCUAACUACGUGCCAGCAGCCGCGGUAAUACGUAGGUGGCAAGCGUUAUCCGGAUUUACUGGGGGUAAAGGGCGUGUAGGCGGGACUGCAAGUCAGAUGUGAAAACCACGGGCUCAACCUGUGGCCUGCAUUUGAAACUGUAGUUCUUGAGUACUGGAGAGGCAGACGGAAUUCCUAGUGUAGCGGUGAAAUGCGUAGAUAUUAGGAGGAACACCAGUGGCGAAGGCGGUCUGCUGGACAGCAACUGACGCUGAGGCGCGAAAGCGUGGGGAGCAAACAGGAUUAGAUACCCUUGUAGUC